UAAACGGCUCUUUUAAGAGCCACUCACAUAACAGUGAAGAGCAUU
Danio rerio (zebrafish) is the source of this 45-nucleotide non-coding RNA. The record is from Rfam. NCBI's taxonomy places the organism in Eukaryota, Metazoa, Chordata, Actinopteri, Cypriniformes, Danionidae.